Molecule: non-coding RNA, 45 nt
Organism: Trachymyrmex septentrionalis
Lineage: Eukaryota; Metazoa; Arthropoda; Insecta; Hymenoptera; Formicidae
Source: Rfam
GCAAAGGUUUUCUUAAAACCACAAAUAUAAUGAAAUGAUAUAUGG